Molecule: long non-coding RNA, 1065 nt
Organism: Homo sapiens (human)
Lineage: Eukaryota; Metazoa; Chordata; Mammalia; Primates; Hominidae
Source: Ensembl
GGAUCCCCAUGUGGGACACACUUUAGCAUGAACACAACCUUGCCUCGGAAAGCAUACGUGGGAAAAUAUGCCAGGGGGGUAGCUCCCCAAUUCUCCUGCCCAAAGAUGUUUGCCAUAGACUACGCUGACUGGCCCAUUCAGGAGCCCCUCGGGUUUCCGCUGGACCUACCCUUCUGAUUUGAGAUCAUCCACGUGUUUUCCCACCUCCGGAGGCUUUUAUUUUCUGCUUCCUCCCUUCUUAGUACAGUGCCAAUCACUGCUCUCCCCCGCCGCCCCCCUCCCCAAAGGCUCUCUGAGGCUGCUCCCUUUGUGAUUGGCAUCUCAUUAAUGAAGAAGGGCUGGUGUCUCUCAUUACAGUUAGAGUGAGUGAGAGGACCUCAGAACUAAUUUACUUGCUCUCACUAGGGAAGACACUUGCCUCCAUCAAGAACUUCACUUUCCUGCUGCCUGUGGCAAUAAAAGAACCCGUUUUGUUUUAACAUUAAUAAGGAAAUUCCACUCAUUGAUAAAGCUCGGCUUCGACGCCCCUGCUCACAAUGAAAUACCUUCCUUGCCAACCACAUUGCUUUAUGAUCGUGCCCCUUUACCACAUUGUACUUGAAAUGCCUUGUCAUUUAAGAAACCAUAAAAACGACGUCUUUAAAAAUGGGUUCAUCAUUUAGCUGGAGAUGGCUUCUGUGCCUGGAACCAGAAGCCUGUCCUCUCGGUGGUAUGCCUCCACAAAAGGAAGCGAGCUACCACAAAGGACAGCAUCAUGUGUUGCCUUCAUUGCUAUUGAAUCGGGAAGUUGGUGCCCAGUUUCAACAUGGAUGACAAAGUAGUGGGAAUCUGAAAUGCCUACAGUAGAAGUAAGGGUGUCUUUAUAUUGGGAAUAUCCUCGAUCCCAGGGCCCAUUUCUAAUUCCCCCUUCUCUCUUUCCCUGAUACAGGCUAUUUUUGAACGAGAAGGACUUUGGCUCAAAUCAACAGUUUGGUUUCUUACUGUUUACAUCUAUGAGUCAAAGUAGCUUGCUCCCAGGAUCCCCCACCAAACCGAAUGAAAAUAAAUUCAAUGUGUGCCCACUGA